This is a long non-coding RNA of Esox lucius (northern pike), 602 nucleotides long. RefSeq lists it as uncharacterized. The record is from RefSeq and is a predicted model, not a curated record. Lineage: Eukaryota; Metazoa; Chordata; Actinopteri; Esociformes; Esocidae. The transcript has 3 exons.
AUGAAAUUGAAACUAGUGUCUUCGCCUCGGAUGGUGCGGGAAUUCUUUCAGAACAGGAAAUGCUGAUGACUGAGUUCUGAACAUGAAACAGCAAUUCGGCACACAGUCUUACUCGUUCGCAUUCGUCGGUUAAGUUCAAGAUCGCUUGGUGGGACGUGUCUCACAGACAGCUGUGCAGCAAUCCAAAUCUGAGUACCGUGUCUCAGGUGCCUCAAGCCGCAUACAUCUGACCUGGCCCUUAAACACCAGGAACUGGACCACAUCCGGUCAGACCGCUGACCUGGAGGCCGGGACUGACUGAGCAACACAAAAGCAGUAGGUCUCCAUUGCCCCCCGGAGGAGGCAACUAAAAACAUCCACGUAAACUCACAUUGAUGAGACGAUUAAAAACAAGGUCUGUGUUAUACCAACAUUGUACAGAUUUUACCUUCUUGUUUGUAAUGGCUUGUCAAAGUAAACUGAACUGGAUUACAUGUUAUCUUGACCCAUAGAUUCUUUUCAGGGCGAGGAGCCAUCGAACACGAAAUUUCAACAUGUAUCUGUUAAAAACAACACACAAAAAAACAGUUAUGUCAAUGUCAAAUAUUAACUGGACCACACGU